UCCAAUCACAGACAGGAAUGCUCGAGGCUUCGGCAAGUUGUCGACAUCCCUUCUGCCUGUGUCGGAAAACCCCCUUGUAACAUACAUGUGAAAGUAUACACGCGCGGAUUUCGUGUUGGAACGUUCAACAAGGAGCUUCCUAGGCAUCGGAUGAAUAUGGUGUCCCCGGUACAUGUCUACGAUGUGAUGACAAUCGUGUGAAAUCUUUAGUGGACAUGGCAUUCUACAAUCCACACUCGCCGCGCGAGCGACCGGUUCCACAUAAACAAGUGUCGAGUCCAAUGCAGAAUGUAGAGCACCAGUAUGCAUUGCCGAAUAGUCAACAUGGACAUAGCCCACACGGUCCCGGGGGUGCGCGCAAUGGGUUCGGGUCUGCCAAUGCACCCAUGCCGCUUAUGUCCCGGGGGUUUCGGGAGACUGACACACCCCACAGUCGCCACCACCGGGGUACCAGUGACUUUGACACCCGGCGGUCGGAGUGUUUGAGGAGGGGCGUUCUAUACGAGGAUCCGGACUUCCUUCCUCAGGAUACUUCCGUGUAUUACAGCAGAAAUCCGCCCUAUAGGAUCGAGUGGAAACGUCCAGGGGAGAUAGCAGGGUACCAUCACAUGAAGCCAAACUUUUUCCUUGACAACGCUUCCAGAUUUGAUGUGAAACAAGGAGAGCUAGGUGACUGUUGGGUAGUGUCCUCCAUUGCCUGCUUGUCAAGUCCAGAUCAUCGUGAACUAUUUCGGCGUGUGGUCCCAGCUGAUCAGGGAUUCCAUGAGGGCUGGUAUGCCGGGAUAUUUCGAUUUAACUUCUGGUACUUUGGUAAAUGGGUGGAGGUGAUUGUGGAUGACAAACUACCCACCUCUCGAGGACAACUGCUGUUUGUACAUUCCAACAACAAGAAUGAGUUCUGGUCAGCUCUCUUGGAGAAAGCCUAUGCGAAAUUAAAUGGGUCCUACGAGGCGUUGAAGGCAGGCAAUGUGGGGGAUGCAUUGACUGACUUCACCGGGGGGAUCUGUGAGAGCUACAUCUUACGAGGGGGAAAGACCAAUGUGCCGCCCAACAUCGUCAACAUCCUGUUCAAGGCCCUGGACCGCCAGAGUCUCAUUGGGUGUGGAAUCAACCCAAUAAAAGGUGGGCCUGGUACGGAGAGUAUCCUACCCACUGGUCUGUGUGCCGGACAUGCCUACAGCAUCACAGACCUCAGAGAGAUACUGCUCAUGUCUGAGGAUGGAGAAAUGCCUAUAACACUAGUGAGAGUGCGAAACCCCUGGGGUAGCAGGGUGGAGUGGAAUGGAGCCUGGGGAGAUACGUCUAGAGAAUGGAAUAGCAUUCCAGAACAGGACAGAGAAAAAAUGGGGCUAGUGUUUCGGGAUGAUGGCGAGUUCUGGAUGGAGUUUGGAGACUUCAAGCACAACUUUGAUAGCCUUGAUAUCUGUAACCUGACACCAGACUCGCCAAUAGAAAUGCCUAAACAGUGGCAUACGGCAGAGUACCAGGGCUCGUGGCAGCACGGAUUCAAUGCUGGGGGCAGACCGUCACAACAGGACACCCACUGGACGAAUCCCCAGUACAGGGUGACUCUGUCUGACAUGGAUGAGGAUGGCGACAAUGUUUGCAGCUUCAUCAUACAAAUGAUGCAGAAAGAUAGACGGAAAAUGAAACAGAAAGGCAAGAAAAACCUCUAUAUAGGAUUUGUCAUAUAUCAGCUCCACAAAGAAGAAGAAAUGCCAAUACCAAAGGAGUUCUUUGAGACCAACCGCCAAGUAGAAUCAAGUGGCCAUUUUAUAGACAGUCGACAAAUAAUAACUCGUAUGACGAUGAGUCCUGGUGAAUAUGUAGUUGUGCCAUGUACCUACGACCCCAACGAACUUGGUAGCUUUUUCCUCAGGUUUUUCUUCGAAAACAAGAAUGCAGUUGCGAAUAUAGAUGCCACGUCUGAGAGGGUCCCUGUUACUCUGCCUCCCACACCCCCUGACAAUGAAAAGGAAGAGAAAUUCAAGAGAUUCUUCUACUCUGUGUCAGGGGAGAACAUGGAAAUUGAUCCUUUUGAAUUAAGAAGUAUUGUGAAUGAUGCCCUCAGGAAAGAACCUUUACACAGAGACCUGUCAGUGGACGCCUGUAAAUCCUUCGUGCUGCUGUUAGACACAGAUAACUCCGGCCAGCUAGGCUACCCUGAGUUCCAGUACCUAUGGAACCUUCUCAGGAGUUGGAAGAAACUUUUUUACCAAUUUGAUGCAGACCAAUCUGGAAAGCUGAGCUCAUUUGAGUUGAGGCGAGCAGUUGGGGCAGCAGGUUACAAAUUGAAUAAUUCCACAAUGAAGUCCCUUGUAUACCGGUAUGCUGAUGAAAGAUCUCUUAUUAGUUUGGACAACUACAUGAUCUGCUUAGCUAAACUCAUGAAACUGUUCAAUGACUUCAAGAAAAAUAGCUCAAACAAUCAAAUGUCACUAUCUAUAAACCAGGUACUCUGGUUUCUACAUAAACAUUACAGUAUACAGGGGUAAGGAUUGAUUGUAAUAGCAUGUGCUUGUGUUGUGGUUAGUUGGGGAAGAUAUCAGUUGUAUCAAGCUUGUAAGGUCAUUGAAGGUCAAACUUACUGUGGUUGGAGCGGUCCCUGUCGGUGUGAUGCUGUGAUGAGAUUAUUACUGUUGUCUCCAUAACUGUGGUAACGCUGAAAUUAUCUGUGAUAUUUCAUGUGAAUGAUACAUGUGUAUGCUGCUGAAGCUUAUGAAAUUGUAUAGCAAUGAUAAGCUGAGACUAGUGCCUGGGAGACGAGGAAUGUGACCAGAAAACUGAGUUUGAAGCUGAAACUAAUGCCUGAAUGAUAAGGAAUGUGACCAGAGAACUGAGUUUGAAGCUGAAACUAAUGCCUGAAUGAUGAGGAAUGUGACCAGAGAACUGAGCUUGAAGCCGAGACUUGUGUCUGAAGGACAAGGACUGUGACCAGAGAACUGAGCCUGAAGCCGAGACUUGUGUCUGAAGGACAAGGAAAGUCACUGUGGUACUGAUAAUGAUAAGCUCUGCAGAAUGAAUGAGGAAUGUCACUGAUCAACAAAACCAAGACAAGGUUUUCUUGAGGAAUACCAAAUGUAGGAAACUAGAACAAGAAUUACUUGAGACUAAGGGAACAAAAAUUGUGUACAUUCAGACAUAAAUGAUCAAUGAACAGUUAUCAUAUUUUGAGAGUAAUAACUUAUUACCUAGCAGGUAUUGUCAUUACAUCAUAACAACUACUAAAGGACAAGUGCAAUGCUUUGCUCUCUGAGGUCUUGUCUCUUUUAAGUCUGGGUAAACUAUGGAGUUGAUAUUUUUGUUGAAGUAGAAUGGAAAGAUACUCUCGAUUUUUGAUAGUAUUUGUAGAAAUAUUUUGUGUGACUGUGGUGAUUUGUAUUACCUUACAAAGGAAGCCCUCCAAGGUUCAUAUCCUUAGUUUAAUAACCAAUUAAUCAUUAAAAUCAACCAUUAUUUUUCUGAAUAUUUAUCCAGGCUAAUACAGUAGCUGUAUGACUAAAUGAUGUUAUAGGGUUAAUUGUAUUACUUAAAUGACACAAUUCCUUCAGUAAAAGUACUACAGUUAACCCCUUAUUUUACUGACGGUAACAUUAAGCUCUGUUACAUAUAUAUUGUGUAAUAGAACCUGACCAUGUUUGGUAAUCAAUGUCAUUUAAUUUGACAUUGAUACUGCAGAUAAAAUUGGAAAGUACAUACCAGUGUCAAGGAUAUCUCAUCAGGGAGGGUUUUAUCCCAUUUACCAAGUACCGGUGUCUAUAAUAUUCCAUCAGGGGAUUUUUUUCUCUCACAAUAACACAAAUUUCAAUACAUUAUUAAUGUUUUGAUGCAUAAUGGAUUUAAAUGAAUGUUGAUAUAAAAGAAUAUCAUAGUAUUUAUGAAAGGCAAUAUAUAUAGAGGUUCAUCUGUGACCCUUCAAUUUAUGUCUUGUCAAAGAUUGAUGUACAUCAUUUCAGAAGGUAAGCUAAUGGACACUAACCAGAACACCCUCAUUCAGUCCAGAUUGCUGUUUUAAUGAUGUUUAUUUUAUGAUGGUUAUCAUUCCAGUGAUUUUAAAAAUCAGCUCCACAUUUAAAAUCUUUGUAUAUUAAGAAGAUUAAGGAUCUAAUUUGCCAAUGUAAUACUUGUGUUUUAAUGUUGACUCUACCUAGACAUGUUUCGUUUGUUUAUCUGUGCCUGUCUGUCAAAGCUCCAUGGUGUCCUGGCAGUCGCCGGAUACCAAUUAAAGUUAGAGGUGCACUGUUUAAAUAGAAACUCUUCAUUCAGAAUACUGAUGAAUUGUUUGCUGGACAUUUUUUUGUUAUGUUAUAAGUAUUUUUAUGCUGUUAAUCAUUGUUUUUUAAAUAUUUGUUUUCAAUCAUUUGUUUAAUUGGUUUUGAUGAAAUGUUUCGUAAUAGACUUUUACUCCUUCAUCAUCAUUGAGGUCAUCUGUCAUCUUUUAGUAUUAGACGGAGAAAACAACCAGACAGACAUCAUGUACACGUCUGGACUGCAGUUGUUACUUGUACAGGUUUUAUUAUAGGCUAGCAGGUAGUCUAAAACAGGUUUUACCAAGGGCAAUUUCAGAACAUCGACAUCGACGUAAAUGUCUCCGCGUUACGAUAUUUUCGAUAAGGAUGUUUUAAUUUUAAACCAGUAGUACCAUCUAGUCAUUAAUGAGGACAGUUAAUACAUCAAGUAGUCUUAUUUUAGCAGUCACCUGUUUUUUAAAAGAUUUUGUACAAAUGUGUGUACAUUAACCACUUUGUUUCUGAUUAUCCACUUACUUACAUUUAAGAUAAAGGGUACCAACAAGUGAAACUAUAAACUUACCACUGACAAUGUUAUGAAAUAUUUAUUUAAGACCCUUUAAAAAGAAGUAUUUCAUUAAAAUCACAUGUUGCCAUGCAUUUGACAGACUUGUAUUUGUUCAAAUCAUGAACGUUUGAAUUCAGAAAUUAAAAAAAAAAAAACAGAAAACUUCAGGGGUCGAACUCUGUAUCUUUACAUUACAUUACUCUUUACCUAUGUUGCUAUGAACAAUGAGGAAAUUAUGCAAGCCCAGAAUCAAAACUAGUGGCCAAUUUAUAGACCACAAAGCAUUUGAACAACUUGACAGGGGGAAGUGACUCUAAGCCAGAAUAACUCCUUUUGUUUCCUUCAUUAUCUAUACAUAAAAAGGGAGAAUACUCAAAAGGAAACUUGAGUGGAACUCUUCUUUAUGAUUGUAACUGAUGCAGUGGUAUCCUUAACCUUAAUCACGAUAUUGAACCAAUUCAGUAUCUUAUAUAAUCAAAAUGAUUUUCUAUAAUCAAAACCAAAGAAUUGAUUCAUUUUUUCAUUUUGUACCAGAUAUUACUGUGUCAUAAUACAAGCUCUGAUAGCUGUAGUUUUAUGCCGCCUUUACCAACUCCGGCCCGUGGCAGAUUUAAUCUGAUGACAUGUUACUGUCAGGGAUGACUUGGUUUUAUGAGAACAUGUUGUUUUUGUUUUAUGUUCAAAUCAAAAUGUAUUUUGCUCUGUUUAAUGAAAUGCUUUGCAAAUUUCUUAUUUUAACUAUUUGAAUUUAAAGUACUUACAUUUUAUUGAAAAGAUCUCUUUCCAGGCAUUAACUUUAAUCAUUUCACCAUUUUUUUUUUAAAUCAAAAAUAUUUUUUUAAAUUGUUUGCAAACUUUCAAAGCCACUGAUGAAAUGACAUUAACCAUGCAUUUAAAUUAUCAAAUCAUUAGAGACUAGGAUUAUAUUAUUAUUUCAUCUUUUAUUCUUAUUGUAGAAUUCUUUUCUUGGGACAGUUUUUGACAAUAAUGGUGAAUAAAUUAUGAGAUUUAUAAUGUGCUGUAUUUAUUUCAGAUUUACUUCUUGUAUGUUAGGUUGAAAGAUCUUCACAUUCUUUUACUUGUCCUGCUGAAUUUAGAAUCAUCUGUCAUAUACUUCCCUGGAAAGCAAGAUUGUUUCACUAUAUUUACAGAUAUUACAUUUAGGCGUGUAACAUGUACUCCAUUCCAAUGGCAUUGCCAGGGUUCCAGUUAUUAUGUAAUGUCCUCUAUUUAUUUUGUAUUGGUGUAGGCAGCAUUAUGUCCCGUAUGACCUAAAUAGUGUUCUAACUUAUAAAAUUCCAAAUUAAUGUUAAUCCAUACUUUGUCUUGUCUCCAUUGUAACACAUGACAGAUAUAUGUUGGUGUUUUCCGGAAUAAUGCAUCAGCAUAUACAGGCAGUCCACUGAUUGUAGUUCUUGUGUACUUAUGACAAAGAAUUAAUUGAAUAGAAUGUCGGUGUGUGUGUGUCUUGUUGUGUGUUGAGGGGGAGGUCAAGGACAUCAUACAUAAAAUUGGCCAUAUUUAAUGGAAGCAAGAAUGUUCUGAAAAAUAUAAUAAAUAAUGAGAAGUUGCUAACAAUGA
Mizuhopecten yessoensis (Yesso scallop) is the source of this 6378-nucleotide RNA transcript. It is a transcript of the gene named calpain-A-like, with no coding region annotated. The transcript has 19 exons. The record is from RefSeq and is a predicted model, not a curated record. Lineage: Eukaryota; Metazoa; Mollusca; Bivalvia; Pectinida; Pectinidae.